GUUCAGGUCCAAGGUGUCGAGACGAUUACCACAAGCUAAAACUGAAUGGAAGUGUCUGAGGCAUAAUAGCAUUGCUACACCAGAAAGACAGAGCUGCUGCGGCAUAGGUGACUUAGUUGGUUCGCGUCUGGGUCCCGGUCCUCUAGUGGUUUACGUGAUAGAAGCAGGUGCUGCAGCAAAACAAGAACAGCCCAAUUUGCCAGCCACUACUUCGGAGGGGGAAUCUACGACAGCCUAUGAGUCUACAUGGCCACAGCCAUUUAGCCUCCAUCACUGAUGCUGCAAAUUUCUUACUGCCUGCCUCUGCUCAUGUAGGCAGACACUGAUGCUGCUGCGAUCUGUCUCAUUUGCACUGGAUCCUCGGCGUGAUUCAUCACGCCUCAGUGCGCCUCGUUCAGUGCAGCUAGGCUGCCUUCAGUCUACCGUGCGAGCUAACUACUUGCCGCCCGUUGCUGUGGUUAGCGUCAUUGAGGGGUCGCUAUAGCAAUCACUCUAAUGACCUCUCGACGCUGCUGACGGUCGGUUGCACCUCUUUACAGGCCGGCUACAACUUUAGUCUUCGGACGUUAACUUCUCAGACUAUCGAUAAGGUUGUUGUAAAGUGCUGAGUAAUAAAUGAAAGACCUAACAAUGAGGUUUUCAUUUUGAUACGUCGGCCGACUACCAGGCAUCCACCUACACUGGAGUAUUGCUACCCCAUCCAGGAUGGUGUACUACUGGCUUACUGACGCUAGCAAUUCAGUUCCACCAUCGUUACAAGUGGUAACAGAAGUGGGCACUACAGCAUCAACCAACGCCAAUACUGUCAUCUGCAGCUGCAGACAGGACCUCGUCUUCAGCCGCAGCUAAAAGCAGCGAGAAGGGCAUUGGGAACCGAUGUGUGUAAUACGUAGAUGCGUGCUGGCUUGUUCUCUGGGGACAGUGGCAACAGCUGGCCGCGCAGACUGCAAUUUGGGAUCAGUGAACCCCACAGCCUCCAGCAGUGAUGAAGACUGCUGUCUGCACCUGCUCGCCAUUGCUGGGUGCCACUGUGGGAACUGCUACUAUUGAUGUGAUGACACUCAUUCCUGCCUGCACCUGCUCGCCAUUGCUGGGUGCCACUGUUGGAACUGCUACUGUUGAUGUGAUG
This is an RNA transcript of Schistocerca cancellata (South American locust), 1129 nucleotides long. RefSeq lists it as uncharacterized. The transcript is spliced from 3 exons. The record is from RefSeq and is a predicted model, not a curated record. Lineage: Eukaryota; Metazoa; Arthropoda; Insecta; Orthoptera; Acrididae.